UCGAGGGGAAACGGCAUUAUGUGCUUGCACAUUUUGGACGUCGACCGGCGCACGGGUGAGUAUCGCGUAUCCAACCUGCCCUUUACUUGGGGAUACCCCGUUGAAAGACGGCCUAAUACCCGAUGUAAUUCAUUGAUGGCAUCAGAUAUGAAUAAAAGAUUUAUCGGUAAAGGAUGGGGAUGCGUCUGAUUAGCUUGUUGGUGAGGUAACGGCUCACCAAGGCAACGAUCAGUAGGGGUUCUGAGAGGAAGGUCCCCCACAUUGGAACUGAGACACGGUCCAAACUCCUACGGGAGGCAGCAGUGAGGAAUAUUGGUCAAUGGGCGCAAGCCUGAACCAGCCAAGUAGCGUGCAGGAAGACGGCCCUAUGGGUUGUAAACUGCUUUUAUACGAGAAUAAUUUGAUGCACGUGUGCGUUAUUGCAUGUAUCGUAUGAAUAAGGACCGGCUAAUUCCGUGCCAGCAGCCGCGGUAAUACGGAAGGUCCAGGCGUUAUCCGGAUUUAUUGGGUUUAAAGGGAGUGUAGGCGGUUUGUUAAGCGUGUUGUGAAAUUUAGAUGCUCAACAUUUAACUUGCAGCGCGAACUGUCAGACUUGAGUACACGCAACGUAUGCGGAAUUCAUGGUGUAGCGGUGAAAUGCUUAGAUAUCAUGAAGAACUCCGAUUGCGAAGGCAGCAUACGGGAGUGUAACUGACGCUUAAGCUCGAAGGUGCGGGUAUCGAACAGGAUUAGAUANCCUGGUAGUCCGCACAGUAAACGAUGGAUGCCCGCUGUUAGCGCCUGGCGUUAGCGGCUAAGCGA
RNAcentral lists this ribosomal RNA (801 nucleotides) under uncultured Prevotella sp. RNAcentral's name for it is "bacterial SSU rRNA". It matches the Rfam family "Bacterial small subunit ribosomal RNA", at positions 62 to 854 of the family's 1533-position model. The record is from RNAcentral. Lineage: Bacteria; Pseudomonadati; Bacteroidota; Bacteroidia; Bacteroidales; Prevotellaceae.